UUUUUUAAUUGAAAACUUGUAUGAAUGGUUGAAUGAGAUAUUAUCUGUUUCAUAAAAAUUUAUAUAGAAUUUUAUUUUUUAGUUAAAAAGCUAAAAUAAAAUUAAAGGACGAGAAGACCCUAUAAAGUUUUAUAAUUUUAUUUUUAUAUAAUUUAUAAAGAAUAUCAAAGAUUUUAAAAAUAAAAUUAUUUUGUUGGGGUGAUAAUAAAAUUUAAUAAACUUUUAUUGUUUUUUAACAUUAAUUUUUGGUUAAAUGAUCCAAUUUUAUUGAUUAAAAAGUUAAAUUACUUUAGGGAUAACAGCGUAAUUUUUUUUUAAAGUUCAUAUUUAUAGAAAAGAUUGC
RNAcentral lists this ribosomal RNA (343 nucleotides) under unidentified. RNAcentral's name for it is "Truplaya (Truplayella) sp. 2 NB-2020 partial 16S ribosomal RNA". The record is from RNAcentral.